GUCUUUUUGGAUCAAACACUGCUGAAAAACACUGCUGAAACUGAAAGGUCUUCUCUCCUUUCCUCCGUCCCGUUAACUACUCUUGUUAAUAACCACUACUAAUUAGAAACGUUGUUUAAUUUAAUUAUCCACUAUGUCUGUUACUUAAACGGCAAUAACACACCAGCCACAGGCUGAAUUGCCAAUCACCACCACCACGCGAAU
Molecule: unclassified non-coding RNA, 204 nt
Filed under: Hevea brasiliensis (rubber tree)
Lineage: Eukaryota; Viridiplantae; Streptophyta; Magnoliopsida; Malpighiales; Euphorbiaceae
Source: RNAcentral